UACGUAGGGUGCAAGCAUUAAUCGGAUUUAUUGGGCGUAAAGGGCGCGUAGGCGGGAAUGUAAGUCAGACGUGAAAUCCCGGGGCUCAACCCCGGAACAGCAUUUGAAACUGCGUUUCUAGAGGGUAGGCGGAGAAAACGGAAUUCCACAAGUAGCGGUGAAAUGCGUAGAUAUGUGGAAGAACACCAGUGGCGAAGGCGGUUUUCUAGCUUAUACCUGACGCUAAAGCGCGAAAGCAAGGGGAGCAAACAGG
RNAcentral lists this ribosomal RNA (253 nucleotides) under uncultured Parachlamydia sp. Its description in RNAcentral is "partial 16S ribosomal RNA". It matches the Rfam family "Bacterial small subunit ribosomal RNA", at positions 524 to 776 of the family's 1533-position model. Lineage: Bacteria; Pseudomonadati; Chlamydiota; Chlamydiia; Parachlamydiales; Parachlamydiaceae. The record is from RNAcentral.